UACGUAGGGUGCAAGCGUUGUCCGGAAUUAUUGGGCGUAAAGAGCUCGUAGGUGGCCUGUCGCGUCGGCUGUGAAAACUCGGGGCUCAACUCCGAGCUUGCAGUCGAUACGGGCAGGCUAGAGUUCGGCAGGGGAGACUGGAAUUCCUGGUGUAGCGGUGAAAUGCGCAGAUAUCAGGAGGAACACCGGUGGCGAAGGCGGGUCUCUGGGCCGAUACUGACACUGAGGAGCGAAAGCGUGGGGAGCGUACAGG
This 253-nucleotide ribosomal RNA is filed under the name uncultured bacterium. Its description in RNAcentral is "partial 16S ribosomal RNA". It matches the Rfam family "Bacterial small subunit ribosomal RNA", at positions 524 to 776 of the family's 1533-position model. The record is from RNAcentral.